RNAcentral lists this signal recognition particle RNA (299 nucleotides) under Cebus imitator (Panamanian white-faced capuchin). RNAcentral describes it as "Metazoan signal recognition particle RNA (ENSCCAG00000012090.1)". It matches the Rfam family "Metazoan signal recognition particle RNA". Rfam says of the family: The signal recognition particle (SRP) is a universally conserved ribonucleoprotein. It is involved in the co-translational targeting of proteins to membranes. The record is from RNAcentral. Lineage: Eukaryota; Metazoa; Chordata; Mammalia; Primates; Cebidae.
GCCCAGUGCAGUAGUGCGUGCCUGUAGUGUCAGCUACUCAGGAGGCUGAGGUGGGAGGAUCGCUUGAGCCCAGGAGUUCUGGACUGUAGUGCUCUAUGCCUAUAGGGUGUCCGCACUAAGUUUGGCAUCAAUAUGGUGACCUCCUGGGAGCGGGGGACCACCAGGUUUCCUAAAGAAGGGUGAACCAGCCCAGGUUGGAAAUGGAGCAGGUCAAAACUCCCGUGCUGAUGAGUAGUGGGAUCGCACCUGUGAAUAGCCACUGCACUCCAGCAUGGGCAACGGAGCAAGACCUCGUCUCA